Molecule: ribosomal RNA, 201 nt
Filed under: uncultured bacterium
Lineage: Bacteria
Description: partial 16S ribosomal RNA
Rfam family: Bacterial small subunit ribosomal RNA
Source: RNAcentral
ACGCUCGACACCUACGGGAGGCAGCAGUUGGGAAUAUUGGACAAUGGAGGAAACUCUGAUCCAGUGACGCCGCGUGAAGGAAGAAGGUCUUCGGAUUGUAAACUUAUUUUGUCAGGGAAGAAAAAAUGACUGUACCUGAAGAAAAAGCACCGGCUAACUACGUGCCUGCAGCCGCAGUAAUCUGAGCGGGCUGGCAACGGC